AGGAUGAAGUAGAGUUCGUAGGCAUCCUGUGAUAACAUUCAGGCUGAUCAGUGUAGCUCAAUCAUAUUGGGGGGGAUUUGUGCCCAUACUCUAGAGGUUAUGGCUUUGACUUGAUGGUUGAUUGGCGAUGGGCCCUUUGGAUAGCAGACCUCCCAUUAAGUUGUUGGCUGAUAUUUAUUAAUGUGGAGGUUGGAGGUCUUUAUGGAUCUGUCAUUUGUUACAUCCCGAGGGG
Molecule: long non-coding RNA, 232 nt
Filed under: Elaeis guineensis (African oil palm)
Lineage: Eukaryota; Viridiplantae; Streptophyta; Magnoliopsida; Arecales; Arecaceae
Description: long non-coding RNA (EGUI_LNC003730)
Source: RNAcentral